UACGUAGGGGGCAAGCGUUAUCCGGAAUUACUGGGUGUAAAGGGAGCGUAGACGGUAAUGUAAGUCUGGAGUGAAAGGCGGGGGCCCAACCCCCGGACUGCUCUGGAAACUAUGUUACUAGAGUGCAGGAGAGGUAAGCGGAAUUCCUAGUGUAGCGGUGAAAUGCGUAGAUAUUAGGAGGAACACCAGUGGCGAAGGCGGCUUACUGGACUGUAACUGACGUUGAGGCUCGAAAGCGUGGGGGGCAAACAGG
This 253-nucleotide ribosomal RNA is filed under the name uncultured bacterium. Its description in RNAcentral is "partial 16S ribosomal RNA". It matches the Rfam family "Bacterial small subunit ribosomal RNA", at positions 524 to 776 of the family's 1533-position model. The record is from RNAcentral.